UCCCGCCGCCCGAGCCCUCGUCCGAGCCUCCUCCGAGCGCCGUCUCCUCCGAGCGGGUCACCUGCAGCGUCCCUUCGCCGAGCUCCAUCCGGCCUUCUCUUCUCACCCGAGACUAGGAGACAUCCUAGCGGUGCCAUCACGCUACACCCGAGCUCCACCAGCCUGACCCUAGCCCGAGGUCAGCAGGCCGCAAGCCCAGCUCCCCCACCCGGCCCGCGCGCCAACCUUCCUUGAGCGCGGCCCAGGUCCAGGCAGUUUCAGAACGGGCUUGGUCCAGGCCCGUGUGCCGUUUGCUGAAGCGCGGCCCAAGGCCCUUGGCUGCAGGCCCUGUUUCAGGCCCGAUCCAGAGUGUUCUUCAGCCCAUUUCGACAGCCCAGGAAUCUUUGUGCUGUAGAUCCAGGUCUACAACUCCAGCUAGCUCUGCCCAGCGUCAACUUCGUGUUCGAGACUCCACGAGCAGACGAUUCUGGUCAACUGUAUUCACCACAGGUAAUAGGUUCUUCCUCCUUUGGGCUUGCUUAUCUAAAUAUGUUCUAGUUCUCUUGCAUGACAGUCCUAUUUUGAAACUUAUUUUCUUGUCAAACUGCAAAACCUAGAACAUUUUCCACCACACCCGUCCUACCUACCAAUUAAAUCUAAAUAUUAAAUUAGCACACCUUAGUGUCAGGACAUCAUCAACAUCCAUAGAUCAGAUUACUUUCAGACUUGGAAUGACCGUAAAACGUGUUUGCAACCUAACUUCUUAUAGUGACUAAUUUUCUACUUUAAUUCUGAACUAACCAAAGUACAAAUUAGUAACAUUUAAUUUUAAGUUAUUUUUGUGAAAAGUUGCUGACUUCCGAAUUCAUAGUAGGUUGCAUUAGUGGAUUGCAUCAGUAGGUUGUCCUGCAUUACAUUUGGACAAUUAGGGUUCAUUAGUAGCAUUGCAUAUCAUAUCACCAACUAGAGUAGUUCCUGUAUGCCCACCCGUAGUGGUAGAGAGUACCUCCUCACUGACUCUCAGACCCCUUCAUCCACCAUGGACCCCAGAGUCAUACAAGAUAUUCUGGAACAAUUAGCUGCAAUACGAGCUGAUAACGACGAAUUCAAACGUGAGAUCCGUGCCCUAGUACAACACC
RNAcentral lists this long non-coding RNA (1118 nucleotides) under Phoenix dactylifera (date palm). RNAcentral describes it as "long non-coding RNA (PDAC_LNC013693)". Lineage: Eukaryota; Viridiplantae; Streptophyta; Magnoliopsida; Arecales; Arecaceae. The record is from RNAcentral.